Molecule: long non-coding RNA, 4812 nt
Filed under: Vitis vinifera (wine grape)
Lineage: Eukaryota; Viridiplantae; Streptophyta; Magnoliopsida; Vitales; Vitaceae
Description: long non-coding RNA (VVIN_LNC004786)
Source: RNAcentral
GAAGUCCCACGAGUUUCUGAGCUGUUUCCCUUUCUAGUCUUGAGCCUCCAAUACAAGCUUGAAACCCAAGAAAUCUCAGCUAUAUAAACAGCAGAGAACAUAGAAUCCAAUCACAAGAAGCAAGCAAACUACCAAGAAGUUGAGUACUCGCCCAUCUACUUGCUCCAAUCAGUGAGAAGAAUUGUCUCAUCAUCUGUCCAUUUUUCUGUGUUUAGGAAAUAUUAAGGUAGACAAGAAUGAGUAAUGGAAAGAACUCCGCCUGGUACACCUUGUUCUUAAGGUUUCUGUCUUCCUGCUUCAGUUCAUCUGCAGGGAGUGGAACUAAAUCCUUGCACACUGGGCCAGAGGCGGCAAUGAUAGGUGCUGCUAAGCAUUUCUCCUCUGCUCACAAAAUAAAAAUGGGCUAGCUUCCAUUGAUGAUGGGCAGUUUUUCAGGAGUAAUGCUAGUGUCUCUGGAUGAUGAAGUCUCUCCUAUAAGAUCCCAUGUACAAAUGCUCUAUCUCAUUGGAUGUGUCUGAGAAUGAUCAAUGCAGAGGUUGAAUAACUGCAAAUUUUGGGUUAGGAAUGGCCUAGCCACCAUUCCCAAUCCUCCCAAUUUCGCAGACACAGGAAGAAUCAUAUAAUCUUCCUAAAAACACUCAUGGGUGCAGGUUGAUUUUUCUGUUGUUGAAAUUUCAAAUUGUUUUAGGAGGCAUUGUAUAGCAGUUUGUAUUUGAAUUGUUGUGAUACUUUUCUACCCUUUGUGAAUAAACAUUUCAUAUUUAUUAAAAAGCCUUCCAAUUCAUUUUGAAAUUUUAAAUGGUAAGUGUUUAUGUUGAUUUGAAGGAAAAGCAUACCCUAAUCCUGGUCUUAAAAAGUAAGAAAGAAAAUCACAAGCAUUAAAUUCAGACUUGUUAAAAGAAAAGUCAACAUUAGGUCCACAUUUUGAAGGCACAGGGGAAGCUAAAACUGCUUGUGAGAGAGGCAAGUGGGCCUGGCCUGGCCUAGCAUUGUGGUCAAACUCAAAACUCAAAAGAGGUCUUCUGUUUUUGAACUAUUUCCUUUGUCACAGUCCAAGAGCCAUCACCCAAGUAUUGGGGUAAAAAUUCACGCAUAGUACGAAUUGUAACUCUUGGAAUUCAUGCAUAUAGCCUAUCCUUUUGAAGUCCUAAACUCCUAACUAUGAAAUUCUCUAAUCAAUAUCCUCUAUCUUAUAUUUUUCCUUGAGGAUUCUCAUAGUUCCUUUACAAUGAGCAAGAUUUAGAUGGUAUUUGUUUUUUUACUUAAUUCUAAAUAGAACGUUAAUGCUUAAUAGUGUUAAAUAUUAUAUUGUUUGUUUUUGUAAUAUUUUAUUUCUAUUAAGUAUUAAAAAGUAAAAAAAAUUAAUAUGUUAUUUUUUCUAUUUAGAAAAAAGCUACAUAUUUUGGUGUGUUUGUUUUUUUACUUAAUUCUAAAUAGAACCUUAAUGCUUAAUAGUGUUAAUAUUAGGUUGUUUAUUUUUGUAGUAUUUUAUUUCUAUUAAGUAUUAAAAAGUAAAAAAAACCAAUAUGUUAUUUUUUCUAUUUAGAAAAAGUUACAUAUUUUGGUUUUUUCUAUUUAGUAAAAAGUUUAUAAUAAGUCAUGAAAAAGUAGAAAAACAAACAAUUUAAAUUCUAAAACUAAAUUGCUUUUAUAAAAAAGUCAAAAAAACAAACACCAUAUUGAUUUUUUUAUUUAGUAAAAAGUUUAUAAUAAGUUAUGAAAAAAUAGAAAAACAAACAACUUAAAUUCUAAAACUAAAUCACUUUCAGUAAAAAGCCAGAAAAACAAAUACCACCUUGUGAGGUAGCACAACAUUCUUUGUUGCCAGUUCUUCAAGUUCAUUUUACUAAACUUUUCUAGCUUUUCACCAUAAACAGCCAAAGUAAUCAAAUAGUAAAAAUGAAUUUGUUAGAAGACUGUUAAAAAUGAAUUUGAGGUAAAUGACAGUCUAAAUUUUCUUGUUAAACAAGAAAGUCAGAAAAGGAUGGUGGUCAAAAGCGAAGUCUUCCCAGUUUCUGAGCUAUUUCCUUUUCCACGGUCUUGAGUCCGCUGCCCACAUGCUCAAAUACAAGCUUGAACCCCAAGAAAUCUCAGCUAUAUAAACAGCAGAGAACAUGGAAGCCAAUCACAAGAAACAAGCAAACUACCAAGAAGUUGAGUACUCGUCCAUCUACUUGCUCCAAUCAGUGAGAAGAAUUGUCUCAUCAUCUGUCCAUUUUUCUGAGUUUAGAAAAUAUUAAGGUAGACAAGAAUGAGUAAAGGAAAGAACUCCGCCUGGUACACCUUGUUCUUAAGGUUGCUGUCUUCCUUCUUCAGUUCAUCUGCAGGGAGUGGAACUAAAUCCUUGCAUACUGGGCCGGAGGCAGCAAUGGUAGCCGCUGCUAAGCAUUUCUCCUCUGCUCACAAAAUAAAAAUGGGCUAGCUUCCAUUGAUGAUGGGCGGUUUUUCAGGAGUAAUGCUAGUCUCUCUGGAUGAUGAAGUCUCUCCUACAAGAUCCCAUGCACAAAUUCUCUAUCUCGUUGAGAAUUUUCAAUGCAGAAGUUGAACAACUGCAGAUUAGAUAUCAACCAUGUUGGCAGAUUUCGGGUUGGUAAUUAAUGAUCUACUACCCAGCAGUCCAAUCAUGCCAAUUUCCAGAAAGAAAGAGGAAGAAUCAUAUAAUCUUCCUAAAUACACUUAUGGAUACAAGUUGAUUUCAGGCUUUGUUUAGCAGUUUGUAUUUGAAUUGUUGUCAUACUUUUCUACUCUUUGUGAAUAAAUAUUUCAUAUUUAUUAAAAACCUUCCACAUUUGUCCAAGCCAAGCCUUUACUCCAAGCAGGAGGUUUAUGAUUUUAAAUAGUAAGUGCUUAUGCUGAUUUGGAGGAUAAGGAUAACCUAAUCCAGGUGCGAAGAGGAAAAUAAAAUAAGAAAAACACAGAAGCUUAAAUUCAGACUUGUCAAAGAUAAGUCAAUACUAGGUCCGCAUUUUGAAGGUAGAAGGGAAGCAAAGUUGGUUUGUAACUUGUGAGAGAGGAAAUUGGGCCUAGCCUAGCAUUGUCGUCAAAACUCAAAAGAGAGCUCCUGUUUCUCAACCAUUUCCUUUGUCACGAUCCAAGAGCCAUCACCCAAGUAUUCUGGUCAAAGACGGAAGUCCUCAGUUUCUCCACUGUCUCUAUAUCUCAGUUCACAAUCAACUCCCACACCCCCAAAUAUCAUGUAAGAUUCAAUGAGUGAGCUUAUGAGAAGUCAAGUUGGCGCACCUUAGUCAAGUUAGCAGCAGCCAUGGUCGCUGCUGGCUGCUGUUAAGCAUCUCUUUCUCUCAUAAAUUCCGGAUAUGGUAGCAUAGCAGUCACGAGGUCCUUUUAAGGACCGUGGAAAUACCAUACCUCCGUUUUAAUAGACGUGAUGAGAUUUUGUGGUUCAGGAUUCCAAGCAUUAAUAGUAAACACAUAAUGGUCAGUUGAUUCUAAAAUUUUAUUCAUUUGAGGAUAUUGGUUAUAAUUUAUACCUUUUUUGUACUCUUAUUUUCCUACACUAAAAGUAAUAACACCUACUUGAUGUUUAAUUACUUUCGAAUCAAAAGCUUUUGGGACUUUAUGAUUGGCUUUGAAUCUGUUGUUCACAGCUUUCAAAAACAAUUUUGAAAAACUAGUUUUUAAGCACAAUUUUUAAAAACUAUUUUAUAAUUUAAAUAUAUUUUGGGUUUAUGAUUUCCAAUCCCAUAAUCUAUGUAUUUUUAGAAUUACCUUUUGUCUCCAUGAUGAUACAUGAUUCAAUGAUUCAAUGUGCUAGUGGUGCAUGGUGAGCUAGUGCAUGUUUGAAUUAUUUGCUGGAACUGGGUGUCUUUUUCUUUGUUUUUUGAGGUUGCCUCAAUGUUGGAUGACUGGAUAAUGGGCCUUAUCGAUCUCAAUUAACACAAAUCACAUACUGUUUGAGGUAAAUGUUGGUCUAAUUUUCUUGUUGAACAAGUCAGAAAAGUAUGGUGGUCAAAAGCGAAGUCCCACAAGCUUCUGAGCUAUUUCCUUUUCCAGUCUUGAGCCUCCAAUACAAGCUUGAACCCCAAGAAAUCUCUUUUAUAUAAACGGCAGAGAACAUGGAAUCCAAUCACAAGAAGCAAGCAAACCACCGAAAAGUUAAGAGUACUCUCCCAUCUACUUGCUAGAACCAGUGAGAAGAAUUGUCUCAUCUUUCCAUUUUUCUGGGUUUAGUUAAUACUAAGGUAGACAAGAAUGAGUAAAGAAAAGAACUCCGCCUCGUCCACCAUGUUCUUAAGGUUGCUGUCUUCCUUCUUCAGUUCGUCUCCGGGGAGUGGUAAGUUGAAGAGUUCAAGAAGUACAUCCUUACACACCGGGCCGGAGGCAGCAAUGGUAGCUGCUGCUAAGCAUUUCUCCUCUGCUCACAAAAUAAACUUGGGCUAGCUUCCAUUGAUAAUGGGCAGUUUGUCAGGAGUAAUGCCAGUCUCCCUGGAUGAUGAAGUCUCUCCUAUAAGAUCCGAUGCACAAAUGCUCUAUCCCAUUGGAUGUGUGCGAGAAUUUUCAAGGCAGAAGUUGAAUAACUGCAGAUUAGAUAUCAAACAUGUUGGUUCAUUUUGGGUUGGUAAUGGUCUACUACCCAGCAGUCCAACCCUGCCAAUUUCGCAGAAAGAAAGAGGAAGAAUCAUAUAAUCUUCCUAAAAGCACUUAUGGGUGCAAGUUGAUUUUAGGCUUUGUUUGGGAGUUUGUAUUAAUUUGAAUUGUUGUAAUACUUUUCUACUUUUUUCAAUAAAUAUUUUAUCUUUAUUAAAAAGCCUUCUACAUUUGUCUAAGCUUUUACUUUUCUUCAAAUACGUAAAG